ACAAAAAUCCUAGAACCAAGGCCAUUUUUGAGGAGACUGACUCUCCUGUGGUCUGGGCAUGGGCAGACUCAAAUGUCAAGUGAGAAAAGCUGUGAUCUUCGAGAUGAAGUAAUAUGAAGCUGCCUUAUGUUUCUUGGCACUGCAGUUUUCAUCUCUGAUUUCAUUGUUCAUCCCGUGUGGGACCCUUCUGUACAGUAACUGCGAUGGAAACUGAGUCAACUAUCCCAAUUUGGCAGAACAAAUCCUAUGGCUCAUCGCGCAGUGUUGUCAGGAGGAUUGGGACAACUCUUCCUUUAAAACCCUGUCCCAGAGCAUCCUUUGAGGUCUUACCAAACAUUUCAGAUCUUUAUCUAAAUGAUGUACCUCCAGUCCCCACUCUGGCAGAUAUUUUGUGGAUAGCGGCAGAUGAAGAAGAAACAUAUGCUAGAGUCAGGAGUGACACUCGUCCACUGAAGCACAAAUGGAAGCCUAGCCCGUUCUUUGUUAUACAGCGAAAUGCUUCAGUCCCCAACUUGAGAAAGCAGGAAGAGAAGCUACUGGCCUUGAAGAAACCUGGUUUACCUGCCCUCAGUCGGACGACUGAGCUUCAAGAUGAGCUGAGUCACCUGCGGAGUCAAAUAGCUAAAAUUGUAGCUGCAGAUCCAGCUUCCACUUCAUUAACGCCAGAUUUAUUAUCUCCAGGAAGUUCAAAUGUGUCUUCUCCCUUACCUUGUUUUGGAUCCUCAUUCCAAUCUACAACUUCCUUUGUCAUUAGUGACAUCACAGAGGAGGCAGAAUUAGAAAUUCCGGAGCUUCCAUCCGUUUCCAUGCUUUGUUCUGCAACCUCUGAAUGUUGUAAAUCAGAGCCAAAGGAUGUUGACGAGGAAGAUUCUGUGUGUCUUUCGAAGGCCAGCAGUUUUGCAGACAUGAUGGGCAUACUUAAAGACAUUCAUAGGAUGAAACAGAACAAAGAUUUGAACUGAUGUUAACCCCACCCCCCCAACCUGGAAACUUCAGGAAUGAGUAUGAGACACAUUUGCAUGUUUCUACCAUUAAAAUCAGAAUAGAGCCCUUUUAAUAUCUGAUGCCUUUUGGAAAGGACUUGUCUGUAGUGCUCCAGCUGAUCCGCGCAUUGUCUGUGCUUAAAAACAUGUAGCAUGAGGACCUGCUUUGAAUGAACCGAACUUUAUUGAAGGAAGAAGACCCUGCUGUUCUUAUAUCAGAAGUGUUAAGAAGAAAAUUUGCUCUAAAGGAUGAAGAUGUAACCAUGAAAGAGAACUGAUAUUACACUUUAAUUUAACUCUGUAAGCAAGUGUAUUGUGCUCCUGAGAUUUUUCUCCACAGUAGCUGCCUUCCUAAGGAUAAAACUUUUUUGCCUCUUCACUAACUAAAUAUGAUUUCUGCACUGGAAACCUAUUCAAAAAGGAAACUGUGGAUAUGCAGUGUUUUCCAUGUCUCUGAAUAUAUCAAAACUUUCUAAGAAAAGGGAAAUUCUUUUCCACAUUUUUGAAGCAUUACUGGUAACCGCUUUUUCCACCGAGUGAUGCGAGUGUUGCUAGAUGAAGUUCUCUUAUCUGUGUUUUCCCCAAAGUGACUUUAAUGAUUUAAGUUAAUUUGAUUCACAAUGGUCUUGUUGCAAUGACUAGCCACUAAUUUAUAAUAUAAAUGAACAUAAAGCAUCUACUUGUUUCUCUGUCUAGGGAACAUUGGGUGCAAAGCUAUCCAUGAGAGUAUGUUAUUUCUUCCUUCUGGGUCCUCAGUUUUUAAAGGAAGUUCUCAUUGUAUUGAGGGUGGUUAAGAGCUUCCAUUAUUUGCUCAAAGAGGAUUCCAUUCCCUAAGGUUUCUUCCAAUUACUUUCCUGUCUCAUUUAAUCAAGAUCUAUUUUCUAAGCUGCUGUUGGCUGGUGACUUUUAGUUUGUAAUAUUUUAAAGCUUGUCCCCAAAGUCACAUUACAUGACACUUACAGUCUACUCUAAAGUAACUGUCAAGAAUUCCAGUGUUUCAUUUACACGUUCUUUCUAUUAGAUUGAUUUUAUUUUAUUAACAUAAAAUUCAGUAAGAAUUUCAUCCAGAUAAUGUCUGAAGGCAUAUCUACUGAACCAUCACAGCUAGGGGGUGAAUCCUGUAGAAAACCAUGUGGGAGGAAAGGAAAGAGUUAAAUGAGUCACAGGUUGCAGUGUCCUGCUAUGCUAAUAUAUCUCUCAGCCAUAUUCAAGGUAUAUGAAUUUCCUUAUAAAUGGAGCCACCUACUUGGUGGUCAAAUAAUAUUUGUAGAUUUCCUUUAUAGUACAGCUGUUGCUGAGAA
This is a non-coding RNA of Pelodiscus sinensis (Chinese soft-shelled turtle), 2284 nucleotides long. Lineage: Eukaryota; Metazoa; Chordata; Testudines; Trionychidae. The record is from RefSeq and is a predicted model, not a curated record.